This 374-nucleotide ribosomal RNA is filed under the name uncultured bacterium. RNAcentral describes it as "bacterial SSU rRNA". It matches the Rfam family "Bacterial small subunit ribosomal RNA", at positions 521 to 896 of the family's 1533-position model. The record is from RNAcentral.
UAAUACGGAGGGUGCGAGCGUUAAUCGGAAUAACUGGGCGUAAAGGGCACGCAGGCGGUGACUUAAGUGAGGUGUGAAAGCCCCGGGCUUAACCUGGGAAUUGCAUUUCAUACUGGGUCGCUAGAGUACUUUAGGGAGGGGUAGAAUUCCACGUGUAGCGGUGAAAUGCGUAGAGAUGUGGAGGAAUACCGAAGGCGAAGGCAGCCCCUUGGGAAUGUACUGACGCUCAUGUGCGAAAGCGUGGGGAGCAAACAGGAUUAGAUACCCUGGUAGUCCACGCUGUAAACGAUGUCGAUUUGGGGGUUGAGCUUUAAGCUUGGCGCCCGUAGCUAACGUGAUAAAUCGACCGCCUGGGGAGUACGGCCGCAAGGUUA